CAUGUGGUUUAAUUCGAUGCAACGCGAAGAACCUUACCUGGUCUUGACAUCCACGGAAGUUUUCAGAGAUGAGAUAUGUGCCUUCGGGAACCGUGAGACAGGUGCUGCAUGGCUGUCGUCAGCUCGUGUUGUGAAAUGUUGGGUUAAGUCCCGCAACGAGCGCAACCCUUAUCCUUUGUUGCCAGCGGUCCGGCCGGGAACUCAAAGGAGACUGCCAGUGAUAAACUGGAGGAAGGUGGGGAUGACGUCAAGUCAUCAUGGCCCUUACGACCAGGGCUACACACGUGCUACAAUGGCGCAUACAAAGAGAAGCGACCUCGCGAGAGCAAGCGGACCUCAUAAAGUGCGUCGUAGUCCGGAUUGGAGUCUGCAACUCGACUCCAUGAAGUCGGAAUCGCUAGUAAUCGUGGAUCAGAAUGCCACGGUGAAUACGUUCCCGGGCCUUGUACACACCGCCCGUA
RNAcentral lists this ribosomal RNA (461 nucleotides) under Escherichia coli. RNAcentral's name for it is "bacterial SSU rRNA". It matches the Rfam family "Bacterial small subunit ribosomal RNA", at positions 938 to 1398 of the family's 1533-position model. The record is from RNAcentral. Lineage: Bacteria; Pseudomonadati; Pseudomonadota; Gammaproteobacteria; Enterobacterales; Enterobacteriaceae.